RNAcentral lists this ribosomal RNA (570 nucleotides) under Klebsiella pneumoniae. RNAcentral's name for it is "bacterial SSU rRNA". It matches the Rfam family "Bacterial small subunit ribosomal RNA", at positions 960 to 1533 of the family's 1533-position model. Lineage: Bacteria; Pseudomonadati; Pseudomonadota; Gammaproteobacteria; Enterobacterales; Enterobacteriaceae. The record is from RNAcentral.
CGCGAAGAACCUUACCUGGUCUUGACAUCCACAGAGCUUUCCAGAGAUGGAUUGGUGCCUUCGGGAACUGUGAGACAGGUGCUGCAUGGCUGUCGUCAGCUCGUGUUGUGAAAUGUUGGGUUAAGUCCCGCAACGAGCGCAACCCUUAUCCUUUGUUGCCAGCGGUUAGGCCGGGAACUCAAAGGAGACUGCCAGUGAUAAACUGGAGGAAGGUGGGGAUGACGUCAAGUCAUCAUGGCCCUUACGACCAGGGCUACACACGUGCUACAAUGGCAUAUACAAAGAGAAGCGACCUCGCGAGAGCAAGCGGACCUCAUAAAGUAUGUCGUAGUCCGGAUUGGAGUCUGCAACUCGACUCCAUGAAGUCGGAAUCGCUAGUAAUCGUAGAUCAGAAUGCUACGGUGAAUACGUUCCCGGGCCUGUACACACCGCCCGUCACACCAUGGGAGUGGGUUGCAAAAGAAGUAGGUAGCUUAACCUUCGGGAGGGCGCUUACCACUUUGUGAUUCAUGACUGGGGGAAGUCGUAACAAGGUAACCGUAGGGAACCUGCGGCUGGAUCACCUCCUUU